CCCUUAGAUGUUCUGGGCCGCACGCGCGCUACACUGAUGCAUUCAACGAGUUCCUACCUUGGCCGAGAGGCCUGGGCAAUCUUUUGAACUUGCAUCGCGAUAGGGAUAGAUUAUUGCAAUUAUUAAUCUUGAACGAGGAAUUCCUAGUAAACGCAGAUCAUCAAUCUGCAUUGAUUACGUCCCUGCCCUUUGUACACACCGCCCGUCGCACCUACCGAUUGAAUGGUCCGGUGAAGCCUCGGGAUUGUGGUUAGUUUCCUUCAUUGGAAGUUAGCCGCGAGAACUUGUCUAAACCUUAUCAUUUAGAGGAAGGUGAAGUCGUAACA
This 326-nucleotide ribosomal RNA is filed under the name uncultured eukaryote. RNAcentral describes it as "partial 18S ribosomal RNA". It matches the Rfam family "Eukaryotic small subunit ribosomal RNA", at positions 1470 to 1796 of the family's 1831-position model. The record is from RNAcentral.